This 263-nucleotide ribosomal RNA is filed under the name Escherichia coli. Its description in RNAcentral is "partial 23S ribosomal RNA". It matches the Rfam family "Bacterial large subunit ribosomal RNA", at positions 2102 to 2364 of the family's 2925-position model. The record is from RNAcentral. Lineage: Bacteria; Pseudomonadati; Pseudomonadota; Gammaproteobacteria; Enterobacterales; Enterobacteriaceae.
UACUAUAGCUUGACACUGAACAUUGAGCCUUGAUGUGUAGGAUAGGUGGGAGGCUUGGAAGUGUGGACGCCAGUCUGCAUGGAGCCGACCUUGAAAUACCACCCUUUAAUGUUUGAUGUUCUAACGUUGACCCGUGAUCCGGGUUGCGGACAGUGUCUGGUGGGUAGUUUGACUGGGGCGGUCUCCUCCUAAAGAGUAACGGAGGAGCACGAAGGUUGGCUAAUCCUGGUCGGACAUCAGGAGGUUAGUGCAAUGGCAUAAGC